CCUACGGGAGGCAGCAGUGAGGAAUAUUGGUCAAUGGGCGAGAGCCUGAACCAGCCAAGUCGCGUGAGGGAAGACGGUCCUAUGGAUUGUAAACCUCUUUUGCCGGGGAGCAAAAAGCGGUACGUGUACCGCAUCGAGAGUACCCGGAGAAAAAGCAUCGGCUAACUCCGUGCCAGCAGCCGCGGUAAUACGGGGGAUGGGAGCGUUAUCCGGAUUUAUUGGGUUAAAGGGGUGCGCAGGCGGCGAGUUAAGUGAGCGGGAAAAUUUCGGGGUCCAACCCCGACGAGCCGUUGAAACUGGGUGGCUAGAGUGGACGAGAAGUAUGCGGAAUGCGUGGUGUAGCGGUGAAAUGCAUAGAUAUCACGCAGAACACCGAUUGCGAAGGCAGCUUACCGGCGCCCAACUGACGCUCAGGCACGAAAGCGUGGGUAUCGAACAGGAUUAGAUACCCGGGUAGUC
This 459-nucleotide ribosomal RNA is filed under the name uncultured bacterium. Its description in RNAcentral is "partial 16S ribosomal RNA". It matches the Rfam family "Bacterial small subunit ribosomal RNA", at positions 338 to 795 of the family's 1533-position model. The record is from RNAcentral.